GAUGAACGCUGGCGGCGUGCUUAACACAUGCAAGUCGAACGGGAAACCUUUUAUUGAAGCUUCGGCAGAUUUAGCUGGGUUCUAGUGGCGGACGGGUGAGUAACGCGUGGGUAACCUGCCUUAUACAGGGGGAUAACAACCAGAAAUGGUUGCUAAUACCGCAUAAGCGCACAGGACCGCAUGGUCCGGUGUGAAAAACUCCGGUGGUAGAAGAUGGACCCGCGUUGGAUUAGCUAGUUGGCAGGGUAACGGCCUACCAAGGCGACGAUCCAGAGCCGGCCUGAGAGGGGGAACGGCCACAUUGGGACUGAGACAAGGCCCAGACUCCUACGGGAGGCAGCAGUGGGGAAUAUUGCACAAGGGGGGAAACCCUGAUGCAGCGACGCCGCGAGAAGGAAGAAGUAUCUCGGUAUGUAAACUUCUAUCAGCAGGGAAGAUAGGGACGGUACCGGACUAAGAAGCCCCGGCUAACUACGU
This 477-nucleotide ribosomal RNA is filed under the name uncultured bacterium. Its description in RNAcentral is "partial 16S ribosomal RNA". It matches the Rfam family "Bacterial small subunit ribosomal RNA", at positions 28 to 506 of the family's 1533-position model. The record is from RNAcentral.